GAAGGGUAAGCGCAGCAAACAAAGCCGUUCCUGCGAGUAGCAAGAAGAGCAAGAAGAUGUUCACGACCACCAGGCCAGUUCCGCUCGGGGUCGAGAGAUUGUUUGCUCGCACACCNNNCCGGAAAUUGUCAGCCCGCUUAGACAACAGGCCAGCCAAAGAAUGGAGAACCAUCCCAGCGACACGAGAUCCGGCUCCACUGUACGGGCAAUCGAAAGCGCAGCUUCCAUCGACGUUGCUCCCAACUUGCAAUUUACUCAAAGCACGACAGGCAAGCUCACUGGCUCUCCGCCAAGCGCUGCAAUUUUAGCGUCGGUGUUUUUGCUGUUUUUCGCAGGCCCGACUUUACGUGCUUC
RNAcentral lists this unclassified non-coding RNA (354 nucleotides) under Hevea brasiliensis (rubber tree). The record is from RNAcentral. Lineage: Eukaryota; Viridiplantae; Streptophyta; Magnoliopsida; Malpighiales; Euphorbiaceae.